This 3067-nucleotide long non-coding RNA is filed under the name Sus scrofa (pig). RNAcentral describes it as "lncRNA (ENSSSCG00000052809.1)". The record is from RNAcentral. Lineage: Eukaryota; Metazoa; Chordata; Mammalia; Artiodactyla; Suidae.
UGGGCACUGAUGCCCAGGUUACACUUUUACAAGUACUGAUUCUGCUUCCCUUUCAGUUACAACAGCCUUACUAGGAGUUACUUCUAAUAUAAGUCUAAUCAUUAGAACCUCUAUAUGGUCUCCACCUGUCAAAUACCCACAAUUCAUUUUUUUCCUCUUUCUCUUUUUAUCUUUUUAUUUAUUUAUUUAUUUUGAAACUCAAGUAACCCAUGGUACCUGAUUAAAGCAGUCUUUAGUUCCUGUAGACUUUCUGAAAGAAAUGAGAUAUUAGGAAUCUAGAUUAUAUUUUCUUUCUGAUGCUUGCUGUGUAACUCUGAGUAAGACCGCUAUUUUUAUCAUCUCAAAAAUUAAAAUUUGCCUCUGGUAUCACAGAUAGAAUCUCAACCUUUGCAUGUUUCUUCCCCUGCUUUUCCCCCUCCUGAUCCUGCACCCACACAUAGAGAGAACACAGAAGCAGAGCCACUUACUCAUGGAAAGCUUCUUUUAUAGUCUUGUGCAAUCUGUUUUAAAAACCUAACCAGACUCCACCAUACCUUUCCUUUGUCAUCUCUGUUUUGUGGUGAUAUGAUUUUCUAUCACAGAAUGAUGACAUUAUUACCUUACGGGGUUUCUAUGAUGAAUUCCCAGAAAGAGUUUGGGGAAAAGGGUGUUAUUUCUCUUUAGCUUCCCCUCCCCCAAAGAUCCCUUCUGUGCACCUCAAACUCUUCAACCUAAUCUUAUUUUGAGGGAAAAUUAGUCAAUGGCUCAUAGGGAUAUGCCCCAGCUCUGACCUCAGCUCUUACCAAAACCAGAGCCAUCUCUCACUCAGUCAAGUCCAAUAAUGAUCUUCCACAGAUGCUGAAGCCCCACUUGAAAACCUGGGCUUUUUCCCCUUAGGAUUCCCCUUGGAGAAGGAGAAUCAGGGAAACCAUAUGCAGAGGGGUGAAUAGAGAACAGAAACCCCAGAGGCUUCAGCUUCAACUGUUCCUACUGUUUUGAGGCUGAGAGGGAGAAGAUCUAGCACUGUUUUGAGGAGCCACCUGAGGCUGGAAAGGGAUCUCUUGGGAUCUCUAGGGAGAUCUGAAAGUGUGUAGAAAGCGCUGCUGUUACUAGGAAAAUGCAGAUAUCAGUAACCGACAAACAGUAGGUGCUCAGUAUAUACAUGAAAUAAUUAAAUAGUUGAAUGAAAGAAUGGGCAAAACAGAAGCAGAAGAUAAGAGGGUGAAGCAGAGCUGGGUACAGAUGAUUUUCACCUUUCUUUUCUCCUCGGGUCUUUUUUAGGGUUGUUUUCAUUUUUUGCAGUUGCUGCAGGAUGAUGCUCAGGCACCGCCUCCAAGCUGAAGGGGCUUCUCCAUCACUUCACAUUUUCCACUUUUUCCAGUCUAGUGAUUGAUAGACUAUGAGUUCUAUAUCUCCAAGGCAGAGGCUCAAGAUGAGCAAGGCUGGAGAGUAAGAAAAAAAAGAAAGGGAUGCACAAGCCAAGGAAUCUGCCUUCUCUUCCUUCUGUUUUAAUUUGCUGGUGGUUAUGGGGUUAACAUCCUCAGGCUUCUGUUUUCCUUCCUUGUGAAUUACAGGUACUGUCACCCAGGCACCCUGAAGGUAGAUUUGUGAAAACAUAAGGAAAACACCAUGUUUGGUCCCAUCUAGGGAUACACCUUUAGAGCAAACCCUUAUUUCUCGUCAGCUCUCACCUAAACCAGUGCUACUCAGACUGAAUGUGCCCAUGAACUACCUUAUUAAAUAUUAAGCUUAUUAUAAUACAGGUUCAGAUUCAGUAGGUCUUGGGUGGAGCUCAAGAUUCUGCACUUCUAACAUUUCUGUACUUAUUUUGGCCCAGUAAUACUAGAGCUGCCCUGUGAGAAAGUCUAGUACUUUGAGCAGUAAGGACCUAGACCACGACUCUGGUGUCUUCCAGCUUCUAGCCAGGUCUCUCCCACCCUCAUCCCCUCACUGGGCACUCUAUCCUCAGCAAUGAAUCCCAGAGCCUCAAAGAUGCCAUGCUCUUUAAAAUUGCAUCUUCGUUCCUCUUCUCUUUGCCCCUCAUCCCCUUCACUAGAUGAGCUUCCUCAUGUCUCAGCUCCCAUGUAACCUUUCCCAUAAAACCUCCCCUGGCUCCCCAUCCUAUCAGAUGGCCAGGCCCCACCCCCCUCAUCUGUGCUCAUCACACUGUGCUGUUUCCAUGUCCAGGGCUAUUGCUCAGGUUGUGCCUGACACAAGGUUCUCUGAUCAAGGAGACAAGAGGGGGCUGAAAUCCAUUCUGUUCUCCACUUGCCACAUCAGUGGAGCCUGCGUGCAGAGCUGCCUCCACCAAGAAGGAGGGUGACUCUUCCUAAUUCACUCAAAGAUGCCAUAAUUUUAUAUCUUUUCUACCAGAUGUGGGGGCCUCAAGGAAGGAAGCAAGUCUCAUUCAUAUUUAUGUUUUUAUCUCCUAGCAUAGUGCCUGUCACAAUUCAGUGUUCAAUGAAAUGUUUGUUGAAUGGAUAUAUAGUAAGAGAAGUGAGGAACUACUAAGAACAAUGCACAGACAAUAAUUUUUUUCAGUUUUAGAGGUAAAUCAACUGAAUCGUAAGCAAGAGAUCUGGGAUUUGCUAAUACGCUGCUGAAAAGAAAUCAGGUCUUCAAAACCCCAUUUUACUAAAAGGAUGAUAACAGGUGUUAGUGAAAAGAGAUGUAAAGGCAACAAGUCAGCACCUUUAGAAAACUCAUGAGAACCAGCAGAGAAAUAGGCUGCCCAGGCUCAAUACUGAAUUGUCAUGUCUUUUCAGAUCUAGGAGAGGAUGAGGGAGUUUCUGAAGAUAUUAUUUGGUCAUAAGAAUUAGAAGCUACUAAAAGCAGCAGUUUCUGGAGUUCCCAUAGUGGCGCAAUGAAAACGAAUCCGACUAGGAGCCAUAAGGCUGUGGGUUCAAAACCUGGCCUCGCUCAGUGGGUUAAGUAUCCGGCACUGCUGUGAGCUGUGGCGUAGGUCACAGACAGGGCUCAGAUCCCGCGUUGCUGUGGCUGUGGCUGUGGCGUAGGCCGGCAGCUGUAACUCUGAUUAGACCCCUAGCCUGGGAACUUCCAGAUGCCACAGGUGCGGCCCUAAAAAAGC